RNAcentral lists this unclassified non-coding RNA (315 nucleotides) under Hevea brasiliensis (rubber tree). Lineage: Eukaryota; Viridiplantae; Streptophyta; Magnoliopsida; Malpighiales; Euphorbiaceae. The record is from RNAcentral.
GGGUGGGGGGGGAGAGGGGGAAGAGGAAAAAAACAAAGAAAGUGGAAAAUGGGCCCACCAAACACUUUCAUCUCAAUUUGGGGUGAAACUAAAUGAAUUCACUAAUUUUUCCUUACAUUUAAAUUUUUUAAUUAAUUAAAGUGAAUGAUAUUAAGAUAUUAUAGUAACCUGAAUCAAUACAAUAUAUUUCUUCCCCCACCCCUUUUCUCUUCCCUUUCCCAACAAUAAGAGAAAUUCAUUCUCACUCUCCUUCCUUUUCUUUCUCCUCUUACUUUUUUCCUUAAGUAUUACCUUUCUGAAGACCCAUAGCUGCUU